GUGCCAGCAGCCGCGGUAAUACGUAGGGCGCAAGCGUUGUCCGGAAUUAUUGGGCGUAAAGAGCUCGUAGGUGGCUUGUCGCGUCUGUCGUGAAAGCCCGGGGCUUAACUCCGGGUCUGCGGUGGAUACGGGCAGGCUAGAGGCAGGUAGGGGAGAAUGGAAUUCCCAGUGUAGCGGUGAAAUGCGCAGAUAUCGGGAGGAACACCGGUGGCGAAGGCGGUUCUCUGGGCCUGUACUGACGCUGAGGAGCGAAAGCGUGGGGAGCGAACAGGAUUAGAAACCCCGGUAGUCC
This 292-nucleotide ribosomal RNA is filed under the name uncultured bacterium. RNAcentral's name for it is "partial 16S ribosomal RNA". It matches the Rfam family "Bacterial small subunit ribosomal RNA", at positions 505 to 796 of the family's 1533-position model. The record is from RNAcentral.